AACGAACGCUGGCGGCGCGUCUUAAGCAUGCAAGUCGGACGGCAAGAAGAGAGCUUGCUCUCUUCCUAGAGUGGCGGACUGGUGAGUAACACGUGGGUGACGUACCCUUUAGCUGGGGAUAGCCGGUAGAAAUACCGGGUAAUACCGAAUAAUCUUGCUUCUUUGAAGUGAAGUAAGGAAAGGAGCUUCGGCUUCACUGAAGGAACGGCCCGCGCACUAUUAGCUAGUUGGUGAGGUAACGGCUCACCAAGGCAACGAUAGUUAUCCGGCCUAAGAGGGUGAACGGACACAUUGGGACUGAGAUACGGCCCAGACUCCUACGGGAGGCAGCAGCUAAGAAUAUUCCGCAAUGGAGGAAACUCUGACGGAGCGACGCCGCGUGGAUGAUGAAGGCCGGAAGGUUGUAAAAUCCUUUUAAGCAAGAAGAAUAAACUUUACAGGGAAUGGUAGAGUGGUGACGGUAUUGCUUGAAUAAGCAACGGCUAAUUACGUG
This 493-nucleotide ribosomal RNA is filed under the name uncultured bacterium. RNAcentral's name for it is "bacterial SSU rRNA". It matches the Rfam family "Bacterial small subunit ribosomal RNA", at positions 29 to 507 of the family's 1533-position model. The record is from RNAcentral.